CCUAUUGUAUUACCAAUAGUUUCUUAACUCGGCAUGCAUAUCUGGUAACGGACUUGUGUGAAGCCCAGUGGACAAUGGAAUCCUCGACCGAAACAUCUGGAAAAAACACCCCAAUCUUUCAUCUGGAAACAAUUUGACCAGGAUAGACU
Molecule: non-coding RNA, 149 nt
Organism: Desulfamplus magnetovallimortis
Lineage: Bacteria; Pseudomonadati; Thermodesulfobacteriota; Desulfobacteria; Desulfobacterales; Desulfobacteraceae
Source: Rfam